ACGCGAAGAACCUUACCCACGUUUGACAUGUCCCGUGUGGCUGCCAGAGAUGGCGGCCUUCAGUUCGGCUGGCGGGAACACAGGUGCUGCAUGGCUGUCGUCAGCUCGUGUCGUGAGAUGUUGGGUUAAGUCCCGCAACGAGCGCAACCCUCGCUACUAGUUGCCAGCAGGUUAAGCUGGGCACUCUAGUGGAACUGCCGGUGGCAAGCCGGAGGAAGGUGGGGAUGACGUCAAGUCCUCAUGGCCCUUA
RNAcentral lists this ribosomal RNA (250 nucleotides) under uncultured bacterium. Its description in RNAcentral is "partial 16S ribosomal RNA". It matches the Rfam family "Bacterial small subunit ribosomal RNA", at positions 959 to 1204 of the family's 1533-position model. The record is from RNAcentral.